This 68-nucleotide transfer RNA is filed under the name Trichosia splendens. RNAcentral's name for it is "tRNA-Gln". Lineage: Eukaryota; Metazoa; Arthropoda; Insecta; Diptera; Sciaridae. The record is from RNAcentral.
UAUAAUUUAGUGUAAUAGGCACAAAAAUUUUUGAUAUUUUUAGUAAUAGUUUAUUCUAUUAAAUAUAA